GAUGAACGCUGGCGGCGUGCCUAAUACAUGCAAGUAGAACGCUGAAGGAGGAGCUUGCUCUUCUGGAUGAGUUGCGAACGGGUGAGUAACGCGUAGGUAACCUGCCUGGUAGCGGGGGAUAACUAUUGGAAACGAUAGCUAAUACCGCAUGACAACAGUUAUUGCAUGAUAACUGUUUAAAAGGGGCAACUGCUCCACUACCAGAUGGACCUGCGUUGUAUUAGCUAGUUGGUGAGGUAACGGCUCACCAAGGCGACGAUACAUAGCCGACCUGAGAGGGUGAUCGGCCACACUGGGACUGAGACACGGCCCAGACUCCUACGGGAGGCAGCAGUAGGGAAUCGUCGGCAAUGGACGGAAGUCUGACCGAGCAACGCCGCGGGAGUGAAGAAGGUUUUCGGAUCGUAAAGCUCUGUUGUAAGAGAAGAACGAGUGUGAGAGUGGAAAGUUCACACUGUGACGGUAUCUUACCAGAAAGGGACGGCUAACUACGUG
This 495-nucleotide ribosomal RNA is filed under the name uncultured bacterium. RNAcentral describes it as "partial 16S ribosomal RNA". It matches the Rfam family "Bacterial small subunit ribosomal RNA", at positions 28 to 507 of the family's 1533-position model. The record is from RNAcentral.